CAUCUUCCAUCUUGGCUUGUUUUCUUCUCCCAGCUGAUUUUUGAGACGGCUGUUCUAAGUAGCAUCAGGACGCCCCUGUAUUCUGGAAUGCCUGUUUUCCACAGAAUCAUUAUUAGCUUUUCUGAUUUCACUAUAAACUGUUUCAGUCCCCUUCUGUACAGGAGCUCUAUGAGGAUCAAGCGUUGACACUUCAACUUCAGUGUACUCCACCUCAGCACUCUC
This 222-nucleotide long non-coding RNA is filed under the name Gallus gallus (chicken). The record is from RNAcentral. Lineage: Eukaryota; Metazoa; Chordata; Aves; Galliformes; Phasianidae.